Molecule: transfer RNA, 71 nt
Filed under: bovine gut metagenome
Rfam family: tRNA
About the family: Transfer RNA (tRNA) molecules are approximately 80 nucleotides in length.
Source: RNAcentral
ACUGGUAGCUCAGUUGGUAGAGCAGCGGACUGAAAAUCCGCGUGUCGUGUGGUUCAAUUCCCACCCAGUCC